UAGGGAAUAUUGGACAAUGGGCGAAAGCCUAAUCCAGCAAUACCGCGUGAAUGAUGAAGGUCUUAGGAUUGUAAAGUUCUUUCGGUGGGGAAGAUAAUGACGGUACCCACAGAAGAAGCACCGGCUAACUUCGUGCCAGCAGCCGCGGUAAUACGAAGGGUGCUAGCGUUAUUCGGAAUCACUGGGCGUAAAGAGUGUAAAGGCUGUUAGAUAAGUUAGUUAUGAAAUCCCUGAGCUCAACUCAGGAACUAUGAUUAAAACUAUCUGGCUAGAGUAUAGUAGGCGAUGGCGGAAUUCUUAGUGUAGGGGUGAAAUCCGUAGAUAUUAAGAGGAACACCGGUGGUGAAGACGGCUAUCUUGACUAUAACUGACGCUACAACACGAAGGCAUGGGUAGCAAACA
This 402-nucleotide ribosomal RNA is filed under the name uncultured Rickettsiales bacterium. RNAcentral's name for it is "bacterial SSU rRNA". It matches the Rfam family "Bacterial small subunit ribosomal RNA", at positions 355 to 774 of the family's 1533-position model. The record is from RNAcentral. Lineage: Bacteria; Pseudomonadati; Pseudomonadota; Alphaproteobacteria; Rickettsiales.